Athalia rosae (coleseed sawfly) is the source of this 3854-nucleotide long non-coding RNA. RefSeq lists it as uncharacterized. The record is from RefSeq and is a predicted model, not a curated record. Lineage: Eukaryota; Metazoa; Arthropoda; Insecta; Hymenoptera; Athaliidae. The transcript is spliced from 2 exons.
CCCCUACAUACGUCGUGCGAAACUCUUUUUCGCAGCUGCCCUUCAAUUAUUUAUUUUAUGUUAUUUUGUCAUCUCUUGCAGAGAGAAGAGGAGGAGGAGAGAAGCAAUUUGUUAUUUUAUUUUAUUUUUUUGUUUAAUCCGAAGUCCAGAGAGGCAUUAUUAUACGGUGGAAUUUUAAUCUCUUUGUGUAUACAGAGCAGAGAGUGACGAGUUGAGAAAGGCGUUCGGUUUUAUCGCAUCGCACGUAUACAGUGAAGUUUAUACGUGCAUCGUGUGUACGUGUGCCACGGACAGCGCGAAGAAUUAAUCCGAAUGGAUGUUUCGCGAACCCAUCCAAGCAGCUACGUCGAGGACGUUCACCCGAUGCUCUUGAACCUUCAGGGUCAAGACACACGCGAUCCGUCCCCCGGGACGUGCGCGUCCAACUGAUAUACGUUUAUCGUUUUAUAUAUAUAUAUAUAUAAGAAAUUAUUUUUUAUUCUUAUUUUAACUCGCAUUCUUUUUAUUUUAAUCUAAUAAUAAAAGUCAGAAGCCACUCGCUCCACUCCACUUUGCCUCAACUCGCUCAUUUUGUAAGUUCGUUAUGAUCGAUAUAGGUACGGUACACAUACCUUGAAAUAUCAUCGGCGAAUAAAUAAAAAUAGCAAGAAUGGAAACCCGGAAAAUCCAAGUUUUGAGAAAUUUUAUUAUUAAAAGUUACCACGGACUCUGAAUUCAAUGGAAUGAAUAUAAGAGCGGAAUCAUUGGGUGAGAUCCUCGUCGCCUGCACGUCAACGAUCACGGCCCUCGAUGUUACGAGGAUGAAACGAAGUCGAGUAAACCGGCGAAGAAUGAUCUAGAAGCUGUUUCAUAAACUACAGUUAGCCAGCGGAGGAGCAUCAUCGGCUCGGCUCGUACACACCGGUGUUAGUCGGAGGGCAUAUAGCUUCGCCGCAUCGCCUCCCGCACCGUUGCUUGAGUUCGUUCAUUCGGUUUACCGAGAGACCCGGGCCAGAGAGGAAAUACCGUAUGACCGGCUCUCGCGGACGCCACGGCACUUCUAGGCUGAGGAGAAAUAAAUCGCGGGUUCGUCGACCUCCGAUGUUUUAAUGUGCGAUCGUCUCGGGCGGACGGUCCCCUCUUUUCUCCCCCCUCCCCGAACGCCCCCUUUCCUCUUUCCUCUUACCCGCCUAGGUAAGUAGGUCGUUGAUUCAGUGAGUCGGUGCGGACCUCUUCGAGUCCCCAUAAAUGCCCGCUGGACUCGCGGGACCCGGCGCCGAGCCUGCCUGCGGUAGUUCUCUCGAUCUAACGGUAUCGUGAGUAAUUGACGACGCUGUAAUAUACUUCCCUCUCUUUCCAUCGGCGAGAACGCUCCUCUCGCACGUUACGUUACGUACGAUCGAAGUGUGUACAUAUAAAACGAAGGUGAACGACAUCCCCGGUGAUACCCAACACCGUAAGAGAUUUACCGAACCCGAACGCGAUGGGAAUUUCUACGAUGACAACUCCACCGAUCGUUAUCCCGUGAAUUACCGGUCGAUGAACUUUGGUGAAGUUACGUCAUGACUCCGGGAUAUUUAUCGUUAUCCCUACCUCGAGGAUCUCGCGGGAAUCACCCCGGAGGUGUGUGCGUGUGCGUGUAUAGGUAUGUAAAAGUUGACCGGCGAUCGGAUCCACGAAAAAAGAGGGAGAGAAGAAAAGACUUGGGUCAUUCACCGGAACGUUUGACGCACACGUACCCGGAUCGCUCGUCGGUGAAAAACUUUGGCGACUUUCGUCCGUUCCUUCGGAAGAUCGGUACGAAUCCGUCGAACGAUUUCAAACGUUUCUUAACGCGGCGAUGGGUUCGCUUUCCAUCGCAACUCCGUCGGAUCGAUUUCAGAUCUGGUGUAAUUAUAAUGGACUGUAAUUAGUGAAAUUCACUCUCACCGAGCCUCGAUACCGAACAGAUGUACGUACGUACGUAUACGUACGCGAACGGCAUUACUCAAUGAUUGAUACAGAAAGUGAACCUGCAGCACUUCGACAUUCUGUACGAGUUCGUAUCUGAAAGUAAACUACGAUGAAAGUUUUAGUAUGUAAAAAAUGUUGCCGGUACACUACAGAUAUAUAUCGUUUCUUCGAUCGGUACAUUCUAUUAUUCGCUCAUAUCCGUCCGUCGGUCCGAAGUUUGAUGCUUGCGAAGAAAAAGACAUGACUCAGGGUCGAACCGAUGAAUCAAUUCUGGAGAGGAGUGAACUCGAACGAAAUGAAUCAUCGAUUACGGAUGCUCCAGUUACCGAUUUUUGGCGCUAAGAAAAGCAGAAGAAAAAGAAAAAAAAAAAAAAAUCUGGUAGCAAUUUCAUCACUUCCAAGGUAUACGGUAACGACGAAUGUAGGUAUAUAUACGUAUAGUUGGGAAGGAAACGAUUCUGAAGAAAGUACGCGCGACAGCGGUGAGGUAGAACUUUAUAAAAGGUUAAUGACUUGUUUACGAGAAAUUAUAAAGACUUUCGACUAAUUGGCGCUAGCGUGCGCUCGCUCGACGUGAUUCUUUAGCAGUCUUACGUAUUUGGUGAAAUUUUUUCACUCGCCAUACCGAACGCGGGAGUGAAGCAAUUACGCGAGUUACAUUCGCAAUAUAUACAUAUAUAUGAAUUACGUUCGAAGCGUGGCGACGGUGGCUCAACACUUUAAUCGUCGAAAAGCUAAGCUGAAUCUAAUAUGAUAAUUCCUUCGCACAAUCACGUAUUAUUUCACGCAAAAGAGGACGAUGGAAUUUUCGGAUCGGCAGCGGUUUUUGUCUCUCUUCUUUUUUUUUUUUUUAUUUCUCUUUUGUCAAGAACCGAGUGUCUAAUUCGGUAGUAGAUGAUCUCACUGACAAUGAGAGAGCUUAACACGUUCAAGUCGCACCGGUCGGUGUCGGAAUCGCACCGGAUUUCGUUCGUUCUAAAAAAUCGUUUCGGCCCGGCCGACGCUCCAGUUUGACAGUUUGUUAAUUGCUUUUCGUUGUUCAAUGUCGCAAACAAUAAGCCGCUGACAAAAAAAAAAACAAAAAAAAACGAAGAUUAAAAGUAAAAUCACGACGACGGUGACGAAACGAACGUCUACUCGUGUACGAAAUUAUUCGAAGAACGCCCGGUCUAAAUAAAAACAGAAAAAAAAAAAAUUAUAGAUAAAACGAAGUCAUACGAGUACCGUAAGCCAACGCGAUUGACGUGCGUAUUGGAAAGAUGGGAUUCGAAGAAGAAUUAGCGGAACAAAAAAAAAAAUAAUAAAAAUAAGUCGAAAACCUGACCGCCGAACAUCUUUGGCAACGCGACUCACAAUUGGAUAGGUUGUUCGCAAAGUCGCUUGAUUUCUAUGGAUAUUCAUCGAGUACUCGUCGACGGCCGAUGGCUCUAUCGUACCUAUCUAACGUCAAGGAUAACAUUGCACGCAUUGACCCGGACAAGGCCUACGCUGAAAGCUCGUAUAUUAUAUACCAUUUACGAGGCGAUAACCUUAUCUCCUUGUCCACAUCACCGAGUCGACUGUGAAUAACGAGAAAACAAUGCGAUUAAUCCAUCUCUGGAUAGGUGACAUUCUGCUAUACGUUCGUCUUGAAUUUGACGUUGUUGCGAAAAAGAAAAAAGGGGAAAAAAAAAAGAAACAAAUCGUCGAAGGUGUUCGGCUCUACGCGAAACAACGAUAACCGAUCUGAUCGUCAAAGAUAACGUUGCGUUCGACGACAAUAAAACGAAAUCAAAUAAAUGAAAGGAAAAAAAAAAAAUAAAAAUAAUGAUGCAUGCAUACAUGUGCGCACCUGUAGAUACGAUUGACAUUGAAAAUUGUAUCUGAAAUGUUUUUGUCGUUUUAAUAUGUACACGUGAAAAAUAUAUUUUUCAAAAUAUGAA